This 288-nucleotide ribosomal RNA is filed under the name uncultured bacterium. Its description in RNAcentral is "partial 16S ribosomal RNA". It matches the Rfam family "Bacterial small subunit ribosomal RNA", at positions 336 to 638 of the family's 1533-position model. The record is from RNAcentral.
CUCCUACGGGAGGCAGCAGUGGGGGAUAUUGCGCAAUGGGGGAAACCCUGACGCAGCAACGCCGCGUGAAGGAUGAAGGUCUUCGGAUUGUAAACUUCUUUUAUUAAGGACGAAGAAAGUGACGGUACUUAAUGAAUAAGCUCCGGCUAACUACGUGCCAGCAGCCGCGGUAAUACGUAGGGAGCAAGCGUUGUCCGGAUUUACUGGGUGUAAAGGGAGCGUAGACGGAUGGACAAGUCUGAUGUGAAAGGCUGGGGCUCAACCCCGGGACUGCAUUGGAAACUGCCA